Molecule: unclassified non-coding RNA, 300 nt
Filed under: uncultured fungus
Lineage: Eukaryota; Fungi
Description: sequence contains 5.8S rRNA gene, ITS2
Rfam family: 5.8S ribosomal RNA (bases 1-71)
Source: RNAcentral
GUGAGUCAUCGAAUCUUUGAACGCAUAUUGCGCCUAAGGCUUCGGCCAAAGGCAUGCCUGCCUCAGCGUCGGGUUUCAACCUCAUCACGCUCUCCUCGUGACAGCGUCGAUGGAUUUGAUAGCCUUUGAAACAACAUCAUAGUUGCUCUCAACGGCUGUCGAAAAGCAUCUACCUGCUCUUGCCACUAGACAUUGUGGUUAGGACGCAACUGAGCAAGUGCUUCUUUUGAACACCAUUAGUUGCGGCCUGCCUGUCUCUUUGUCGUUAUGUGGUAUGAUGUAGCGUAUUCAGACAAACCC